GACGAACGCUGGCGGCGUGCCUAAUACAUGCAAGUAGAACGCUGAAGGAGGAGCUUGCUUCUCUGGAUGAGUUGCGAACGGGUGAGUAACGCGUAGGUAACCUGCCUCGUAGCGGGGGAUAACUAUUGGAAACGAUAGCUAAUACCGCAUAAGAGUAGAUGUUGCAUGACAUUUGCUUAAAAGGUGCAAUUGCAUCACUACCAGAUGGACCUGCGUUGUAUUAGCUAGUUGGUGGGGUAACGGCUCACCAAGGCGACGAUACAUAGCCGACCUGAGAGGGUGAUCGGCCACACUGGGACUGAGACACGGCCCAGACUCCUACGGGAGGCAGCAGUAGGGAAUCUUCGGCAAUGGACGGAAGUCUGACCGAGCAACGCCGCGUGAGUGAAGAAGGUUUUCGGAUCGUAAAGCUCUGUUGUAAGAGAAGAACGAGUGUGAGAGUGGAAAGUUCACACUGUGACGGUAUCUUACCAGAAAGGGACGGCUAACUACGUG
This 495-nucleotide ribosomal RNA is filed under the name uncultured bacterium. RNAcentral's name for it is "partial 16S ribosomal RNA". It matches the Rfam family "Bacterial small subunit ribosomal RNA", at positions 28 to 507 of the family's 1533-position model. The record is from RNAcentral.